UACGGAGGGUGCAAGCGUUAUCCGGAAUCACUGGGUUUAAAGGGUGCGUAGGUGGCCUAAUAAGUCAGAGGUGAAAUCCCAUCGCUUAACGAUGGAACUGCCUUUGAUACUGUUAGGCUUGAAUUGGGUUGAGGUAAGCGGAAUGUGGCAUGUAGCGGUGAAAUGCAUAGAUAUGCCAUAGAACACCGAUUGCGAAGGCAGCUUACUGGACCUUGAUUGACACUGAGGCACGAAAGCGUGGGGAGCGAACAGG
RNAcentral lists this ribosomal RNA (253 nucleotides) under uncultured bacterium. Its description in RNAcentral is "partial 16S ribosomal RNA". It matches the Rfam family "Bacterial small subunit ribosomal RNA", at positions 524 to 776 of the family's 1533-position model. The record is from RNAcentral.